RNAcentral lists this ribosomal RNA (616 nucleotides) under Salmonella enterica. RNAcentral's name for it is "partial 23S ribosomal RNA". It matches the Rfam family "Bacterial large subunit ribosomal RNA", at positions 582 to 1200 of the family's 2925-position model. The record is from RNAcentral. Lineage: Bacteria; Pseudomonadati; Pseudomonadota; Gammaproteobacteria; Enterobacterales; Enterobacteriaceae. RNAcentral also lists the same sequence under 1 other name.
CCCUUUGGGUGUGACUGCGUACCUUUUGUAUAAUGGGUCAGCGACUUAUAUUCUGUAGCAAGGUUAACCGAAUAGGGGAGCCGGAGGGAAACCGAGUCUUAACCGGGCGUUAAGUUGCAGGGUAUAGACCCGAAACCCGGUGAUCUAGCCAUGGGCAGGUUGAAGGUUGGGUAACACUAACUGGAGGACCGAACCGACUAAUGUUGAAAAAUUAGCGGAUGACCUGUGGCUGGGGGUGAAAGGCCAAUCAAACCGGGAGAUAGCUGGUUCUCCCCGAAAGCUAUUUAGGUAGCGCCUCGUGAAUUCAUCUCCGGGGGUAGAGCACUGUUUCGGCUAGGGGGCCAUCCCGGCUUACCAACCCGAUGCAAACUGCGAAUACCGGAGAAUGUUAUCACGGGAGACACACGGCGGGUGCUAACGUCCGUCGUGAAGAGGGAAACAACCCAGACCGCCAGCUAAGGUCCCAAAGUCAUGGUUAAGUGGGAAACGAUGUGGGAAGGCCCAGACAGCCAGGAUGUUGGCUUAGAAGCAGCCAUCAUUUAAAGAAAGCGUAAUAGCUCACUGGUCGAGUCGGCCUGCGCGGAAGAUGUAACGGGGCUAAACCAUGCACCGAAGC